UACGUAGGGGGCAAGCGUUGUCCGGAAUCAUUGGGCGUAAAGCGCGUGUAGGCGGUCCGGUAAGUCCGCUGUGAAAGUCGGGGGCUCAACCCUCGGAUGCCGGUGGAUACUGUCGGGCUUGAGUACGGAAGAGGCGAGUGGAAUUCCUGGUGUAGCGGUGAAAUGCGCAGAUAUCAGGAGGAACACCAAUUGCGAAGGCAGCUUGCUGGGACGUUACUGACGCUGAGACGCGAAAGCGUGGGGAGCAAACAGG
This 253-nucleotide ribosomal RNA is filed under the name uncultured bacterium. RNAcentral's name for it is "partial 16S ribosomal RNA". It matches the Rfam family "Bacterial small subunit ribosomal RNA", at positions 524 to 776 of the family's 1533-position model. The record is from RNAcentral.